AACGAACGCUGGCGGCAUGCCUAACACAUGCAAGUCGAACGAGACCUGCGGGUCUAGCGGCGCACGGGUGCGUAACGCGUGGGAACCUGCCCGUAGGUUCGGAAUAACUUCGCGAAAGGGGUGCAAAUACCGGAUAAUGUCAUCGGACCAAAGAUUUAUCGCCUUUGGAUGGGCCCGCGUUGGAUUAGCUAGUUGGUAGGGUAAAAGCCUACCAAGGCGACGAUCCAUAGCUGGUCUGAGAGGAUGAUCAGCCACACUGGGACUGAGACACGGCCCAGACUCCUACGGGAGGCAGCAGUGGGGAAUAUUGGACAAUGGGCGAAAGACUGAGCCAGCAAUGCCGCGUGAGUGAUGAAGGACUUAGGAUUGUAAAGCUCUUUUAACAGGGAUGAUAAUGACAGUACCGGGAGAAUAAGCGCCGGCUAACUCCGUG
Molecule: ribosomal RNA, 433 nt
Filed under: uncultured bacterium
Lineage: Bacteria
Description: partial 16S ribosomal RNA
Rfam family: Bacterial small subunit ribosomal RNA
Source: RNAcentral